CCAGCUGAGUGAAAAAAGUAGCAUACGCUCAUUACCGAUACAUAUAAAAAACAAAAAUUAUACAUCCAGAAAUGGACCAGGGGAUUCUUCAGCUCUCAACCGGUUGCACAACAUUGGUGUGUAGGAGACAGGCAAGUAUAAGGCAAGCAAUAAUAGUAUCUGCAAAUCCAGGAUAGUACUUGUUACUGCAUCCUUAAGAAUUCUCAUACAACAUCAUUCCAAUUGUUGAAAAAGAUUCAAUAAAAUUACAUCUAUAAGCAUGAUUUGCUAUUUAUAACAUAGAUACUCAUAUUAUAAACAACAUCUGCACUUAGUAAUCACAAGUAGGCUAAAAAAAAAUCAGAAUCAUACACGUAUUCAUAAACAGAUACCCCACAUGUUCAUAAGCAAUUUUUUCUCUCCUCUAAAAAACAACCACACCAUAAUAUCUUAACCUACAAUGUGCUUUCAUAAAAUUAGUGAGUGAACCAAAGACAACACACAGCCAGUUUGGUAUUCAUAUACUCAGCAAAAAAAAAAAAUCUCAGCUAACCUCAUAACGGGACACUAUAAAGCUAUUUUUUCCAACCUAGUUUCCAUUGCGUCAAAACCCAUCACACCCAAACGAACCAAUGGCUGACCCAAAUCAGAAUGGAUAAGAGAAAGCCAUACAUAUCCUCCAUAAUCGGCGCUGGGAGAAGCCGUAAGCUUCGCCAGAGACGCGUGCGUGAGCCAUUCGGUCUCACGAAGAAGAAGGAUGGUCGAGUUCUUACAUAUGUUUGAGGGGUAUGGUGAGAGAUUGGUGAAGUGCCGGAGGCCUUGCCGGCAUGACGACUGGAGAAGAAGAAGUUGGGUCUGCCCUCGUGGCCCCUUCGCUACAAGACGCGACUACUACAAUGAUGACCAGAGCCUCGCCAUUCGUCUUGGCUUUGGACGGCAGCGCCGACGCCUUCCCCCACUAGAGCUCAUCGUUAGGAUCUUCAUGGAGGUGCGUGCUCCAAACUCAGAACCCUUACUCCUCAAUUUUCCUAAUCCCUAACCUAAAAAAUGAGAACUCAUACUUAGCAAAAUGAGAACCCCAACUUUCCUAAGCCUUUUCUUUUUUGGCCCUCUUCCGUCUAAAUAAAAUCCUACCUAAAC
RNAcentral lists this long non-coding RNA (1119 nucleotides) under Lupinus angustifolius (narrow-leaved blue lupine). RNAcentral describes it as "long non-coding RNA (LANG_LNC001080)". The record is from RNAcentral. Lineage: Eukaryota; Viridiplantae; Streptophyta; Magnoliopsida; Fabales; Fabaceae.